RNAcentral lists this long non-coding RNA (272 nucleotides) under Mytilus galloprovincialis (Mediterranean mussel). The record is from RNAcentral. Lineage: Eukaryota; Metazoa; Mollusca; Bivalvia; Mytilida; Mytilidae.
AGAUCCUUCUAUAAUUUGUGACCAUACAGAGAUUUCCAUGAGUGUUAUAUAUUGAACUGGCUUUACAUUCUACACAACUGUUCUAGGCAAGUAUAUUUGUUUGAACUUUUAUUUCUUAUAUACAGAUGUAUGGUGCUUGGAGUUUUCUUUGCAUUAUUAUUAUCUGAAGGCAACUAGAGACGAGAUUGAAAAAAAUAUUCACUUCUUUAAUUUAAAUAUUAUUUAGAAAACAGCCACUUGGAAUUUUACCUAUCCUGAUUUUUAUUUCUUUU